RNAcentral lists this ribosomal RNA (2902 nucleotides) under Escherichia coli KTE3. RNAcentral's name for it is "bacterial LSU rRNA". It matches the Rfam family "Bacterial large subunit ribosomal RNA". The record is from RNAcentral. Lineage: Bacteria; Pseudomonadati; Pseudomonadota; Gammaproteobacteria; Enterobacterales; Enterobacteriaceae.
UUAAGCGACUAAGCGUACACGGUGGAUGCCCUGGCAGUCAGAGGCGAUGAAGGACGUGCUAAUCUGCGAUAAGCGUCGGUGAGGUGAUAUGAACCGUUAUAACCGGCGAUUUCCGAAUGGGGAAACCCAGUGUGUUUCGACACACUAUCAUUAACUGAAUCCAUAGGUUAAUGAGGCGAACCGGGGGAACUGAAACAUCUAAGUACCCCGAGGAAAAGAAAUCAACCGAGAUUCCCCCAGUAGCGGCGAGCGAACGGGGAGGAGCCCAGAGCCUGAAUCAGUGUGUGUGUUAGUGGAAGCGUCUGGAAAGGCGCGCGAUACAGGGUGACAGCCCCGUACACAAAAAUGCACAUAUUGUGAGCUCGAUGAGUAGGGCGGGACACGUGGUAUCCUGUCUGAAUAUGGGGGGACCAUCCUCCAAGGCUAAAUACUCCUGACUGACCGAUAGUGAACCAGUACCGUGAGGGAAAGGCGAAAAGAACCCCGGCGAGGGGAGUGAAAAAGAACCUGAAACCGUGUACGUACAAGCAGUGGGAGCCUCUUUAUGGGGUGACUGCGUACCUUUUGUAUAAUGGGUCAGCGACUUAUAUUCUGUAGCAAGGUUAACCGAAUAGGGGAGCCGAAGGGAAACCGAGUCUUAACUGGGCGUUAAGUUGCAGGGUAUAGACCCGAAACCCGGUGAUCUAGCCAUGGGCAGGUUGAAGGUUGGGUAACACUAACUGGAGGACCGAACCGACUAAUGUUGAAAAAUUAGCGGAUGACUUGUGGCUGGGGGGGAAAGGCCAAUCAAACCGGGAGAUAGCUGGUUCUCCCCGAAAGCUAUUUAGGUAGCGCCUCGUGAAUUCAUCUCCGGGGGUAGAGCACUGUUUCGGCAAGGGGGUCAUCCCGACUUACCAACCCGAUGCAAACUGCGAAUACCGGAGAAUGUUAUCACGGGAGACACACGGCGGGUGCUAACGUCCGUCGUGAAGAGGGAAACAACCCAGACCGCCAGCUAAGGUCCCAAAGUCAUGGUUAAGUGGGAAACGAUGUGGGAAGGCCCAGACAGCCAGGAUGUUGGCUUAGAAGCAGCCAUCAUUUAAAGAAAGCGUAAUAGCUCACUGGUCGAGUCGGCCUGCGCGGAAGAUGUAACGGGGCUAAACCAUGCACCGAAGCUGCGGCAGCGACACUAUGUGUUGUUGGGUAGGGGAGCGUUCUGUAAGCCUGUGAAGGUGGCCUGUGAGGGUUGCUGGAGGUAUCAGAAGUGCGAAUGCUGACAUAAGUAACGAUAAAGCGGGUGAAAAGCCCGCUCGCCGGAAGACCAAGGGUUCCUGUCCAACGUUAAUCGGGGCAGGGUGAGUCGACCCCUAAGGCGAGGCCGAAAGGCGUAGUCGAUGGGAAACAGGUUAAUAUUCCUGUACUUGGUGUUACUGCGAAGGGGGGACGGAGAAGGCUAUGUUGGCCGGGCGACGGUUGUCCCGGUUUAAGCGUGUAGGCUGGUUUUCCAGGCAAAUCCGGAAAACCAAGGCUGAGGCGUGAUGACGAGGCACUACGGUGCUGAAGCGACAAAUGCCCUGCUUCCAGGAAAAGCCUCUAAGCAUCAGGUAACAUCAAAUCGUACCCCAAACCGACACAGGUGGUCAGGUAGAGAAUACCAAGGCGCUUGAGAGAACUCGGGUGAAGGAACUAGGCAAAAUGGUGCCGUAACUUCGGGAGAAGGCACGCUGAUAUGUAGGUGAAGCGACUUGCUCGUGGAGCUGAAAUCAGUCGAAGAUACCAGCUGGCUGCAACUGUUUAUUAAAAACACAGCACUGUGCAAACACGAAAGUGGACGUAUACGGUGUGACGCCUGCCCGGUGCCGGAAGGUUAAUUGAUGGGGUUAGCGGUAACGCGAAGCUCUUGAUCGAAGCCCCGGUAAACGGCGGCCGUAACUAUAACGGUCCUAAGGUAGCGAAAUUCCUUGUCGGGUAAGUUCCGACCUGCACGAAUGGCGUAAUGAUGGCCAGGCUGUCUCCACCCGAGACUCAGUGAAAUUGAACUCGCUGUGAAGAUGCAGUGUACCCGCGGCAAGACGGAAAGACCCCGUGAACCUUUACUAUAGCUUGACACUGAACAUUGAGCCUUGAUGUGUAGGAUAGGUGGGAGGCUUUGAAGUGUGGACGCCAGUCUGCAUGGAGCCGACCUUGAAAUACCACCCUUUAAUGUUUGAUGUUCUAACGUUGGCCCGUAAUCCGGGUUGCGGACAGUGUCUGGUGGGUAGUUUGACUGGGGCGGUCUCCUCCUAAAGAGUAACGGAGGAGCACGAAGGUUGGCUAAUCCUGGUCGGACAUCAGGAGGUUAGUGCAAUGGCAUAAGCCAGCUUGACUGCGAGCGUGACGGCGCGAGCAGGUGCGAAAGCAGGUCAUAGUGAUCCGGUGGUUCUGAAUGGAAGGGCCAUCGCUCAACGGAUAAAAGGUACUCCGGGGAUAACAGGCUGAUACCGCCCAAGAGUUCAUAUCGACGGCGGUGUUUGGCACCUCGAUGUCGGCUCAUCACAUCCUGGGGCUGAAGUAGGUCCCAAGGGUAUGGCUGUUCGCCAUUUAAAGUGGUACGCGAGCUGGGUUUAGAACGUCGUGAGACAGUUCGGUCCCUAUCUGCCGUGGGCGCUGGAGAACUGAGGGGGGCUGCUCCUAGUACGAGAGGACCGGAGUGGACGCAUCACUGGUGUUCGGGUUGUCAUGCCAAUGGCACUGCCCGGUAGCUAAAUGCGGAAGAGAUAAGUGCUGAAAGCAUCUAAGCACGAAACUUGCCCCGAGAUGAGUUCUCCCUGAGACUUUGAGACUCCUGAAGGAACGUUGAAGACGACGACGUUGAUAGGCCGGGUGUGUAAGCGCAGCGAUGCGUUGAGCUAACCGGUACUAAUGAACCGUGAGGCUUAACCUU